UUUAGGGAGACCAACGGAAAUCACUGCCGAACCCAAAUAACUAGGCAGGAUGGAAGUCAUCCCAAGGUCGGGCGAGGAAAAGGUUAAUUUUGUGCUUUCAAACUAAACAGGUGGCGGGACAAGGGCUAUUAGCUCAGGUGGUUAGAGCGCACCCCUGAUAAGGGUGAGGUCCCUGGUUCGAGUCCAGGAUGGCCCACCUGAACCAAAUCAUGAUUAUUGUGAAUUGGUAGAUGGGGGUAUAGCUCAGUUGGUAGAGCGCUGCCUUUGCAAGGCAGAUGCCAGCGGUUCGAGUCCGCUUACCUCCACCAGAAAAAGCAUCAACCAACGAAUUCAGCAACGAUACGAGUUGAUUAAAACCGUAGCGCCUGCUGGACAAUCGUGCCAGUCAGAACCUAGAAAACUGCAUAGUCACAAGAAAGUCAGGUAGCAGUUAGUAGUGCAAGCUAUUAACGAAGUAUCACAGACACCAAAUUAGUGAGAGAAAAGUGUCA
Molecule: transfer RNA, 491 nt
Filed under: Geitlerinema splendidum P017
Lineage: Bacteria; Bacillati; Cyanobacteriota; Cyanophyceae; Geitlerinematales; Geitlerinemataceae
Description: partial 16S-23S ribosomal RNA intergenic spacer
Rfam family: tRNA (bases 233-305)
Source: RNAcentral